This 161-nucleotide unclassified non-coding RNA is filed under the name soil metagenome. RNAcentral's name for it is "partial contains 5.8S ribosomal RNA, internal transcribed spacer 2, and large subunit ribosomal RNA". The record is from RNAcentral.
AACACUGUUAACCUGCGGUACCUGCGGAAGGAUCAUUACUGUGAUUUACUACUACACUGCGUGAGCGGAACGAAAACAACAACACCUAAAAUGUGGAAUAUAGCAUAUAGUCGACAAGAGAAAUCUACGAAAAAGCAAACAAAACUUUUAACAAUGGAUCU